Long non-coding RNA from Meleagris gallopavo (turkey), 4589 nucleotides. NCBI's taxonomy places the organism in Eukaryota, Metazoa, Chordata, Aves, Galliformes, Phasianidae. The record is from Ensembl.
GGUUUGGUGACUCAGAAAAAUAGCUAUUCCUCCCACUGACUCUCCAGGUAAUUUUUGUUACCUGUACAGCAGUUAUUUUCCAGGAGCUGAAAGGCAGCAUCAGGAACAUUUGGUGGACUCCCCAUGGUGCCACAUUUCGGUGCAUACAAGACACUGCUUGCUUGCCACUUUUCCAGGCCUGUUGCUGGCAGGAGGCAGCAGAGCAGAGCUCUGAGUGUUUCUGCCACUUUGGUGUUAUCUAAGCAGCGUGAGUGAUCCUAAAAUUAAGCAAGAAACACAGUGCCUUGAGGGAAAAGGCAGCAUGUGACCAAAUUAUUCGCCUUGACUUUGCAUUAGGAAAACCUUUCUGCAACUCUCAGAGCAAAAUGCAAUCUUUGUGCUAGUAACUCCUUCCAGAUUUUAUCUUGAACUACAUGGAAACAAAUUUUUUCCCAAUCUUUGCAGCUACACCAAGAAAAUCUUUCACUGCUUGCAAUGAAGAGGUUAUAAACUCAUGCAGAGUUGAUCAGGAGUGGAACUCAGUGCCCUUUGUCCCUUUGAGAUUAUUGUUUGCUGUUCCUGCCCAGGGAAAAGUAAACAGCAAAAUCCAAUUACCGUGUCCUCUGACUCAAACACUGCUCAAGCCUCCCCUCAGGACAAUGCUCGUAUUCAAGCUGCUCUCUGAGCUUAGCUCUGUUCUUAAAAUUAGCAAUGUUUCUGUAAGAUUGAUUUGCCAGAAAUAUGUGGAUGAAAAAAUGCUGACACACAUUUUCAUCCUAGAAGUAAACUGUCAAGCUUGUACCAGAAGCUGAUGGAGGACACAGAAGUUGGCUUUCAGAUGACAAGGCUUUUCAGAUUCACGCAUCCUCUGAGCCUCCCUGAGUCUGCUGAGACCAUAGAGAAAUGCAUUUAAUUCAGUGAAUUCAGUGAGGUCCUUACUGCAUCAUGAAGAUACAAAUCUAAGGUGUGCUCAGAACACAACAAAACAUUCUUAACAGGUACCUUUAAAGUAAAGAGACAGAAGAGGUAUCUGAAAUGCCCCAAAAGUGAUAUCUGUUCACCUGACACAAACCAGGAUCCAGUCUGUGAAAUCCCAACUCCACCAUCCAUGGAGGUGAAGGAAUAAAAACAAGAGCUGAAUCCUCAUUUGAAAAUAUUGCAGUUCACUCAUUUCACUUCAGUUUUCCUGAUGUAUUUUCCAGGUAUGUAUGUAUGUGUUUCUGAUUUUAUAUCUAUUACGUAACUUUCAUGAAUUACUUGGUUCCAUCAGGACUGCUGUAGCCCAGCUAGUUCUGUGGAUGUUGUAUCUCAAUGGGAUCCAAGAAUACAGUAAAUGAUAUGCAGCAGCAUGCAAGGACUCAGAAUACCUGAGAUAAAAAAGCAAAGAAAUUUCAGUUUAUCAUUUUGUCUUUUCAGCGGGUAAGGCUGCCACAUCUACAGGCCAUAAUCCUCUUUGUCUGAAGCCAAAUAACACAGAGAAUCAAAAUGCCUUUGCAAGCUUUGAAAUGAAAGAGUAAGAAGUCUAGAGAAGAUAAUUCCAUUACAGUUUUUAUAGCUGGGCACAUCCAGUAUAGUCAAUGAAGGAGACAGACAGUAAUCUCAACCGUAAUUGCUUUUGAAAAGAUUCGUUUAUCUAUUUUUCUUAGUUGCAUAUCCAGGCAACAGAUAUGCAACUCAAAAAAUCAGAAUUCUGCUGUAUUUCUUAACCUUCCCCCCCAACAAUUGCUUCACACAUACUGUUAUGUUCUCUUACAGUUCUCAUCUGGCCGUUUCUUCGUGCCCUAAAGAGUACUAGCUAGAUGACAGUUUUCCAGAAGGGUAAGAGCCCUACUUUUUGCUUUACUUUCCCUCCCACUAUGGCCAAAACUGGAGCAGGAAAGCUGGGUAUCAGAAACAUGCUUUGCAUCGGUGAGAGUGAAGAAGGGCUGUGUGAGCUGUGUGGUACUGCACCCAGCCAGUCUCUGUGCUUGAUGGAGAGGCUUGAUUGCAAGGGCUGCAAAUCUAGGACAAGGGACAAGAGGGCACUGUCUUCUCCUGAGGCUGGUCUGUCAACCCUAGCAGAUGAAUUAAGAUCAGUGUCACAUAAAUAUUUCAGGGCUUCUCUGUUUUGGGUGUUGAGGUGAUCAGUGCUGUCAUUGGUUGACUAUUAAAGUUAUAUCUGAACUAGGAGAAGUUAUUAAACAGUCCUAAGAAAAGUUAACAGCAAUUGAAAUAUCUCCUGCAGAGAAUUUACUAAAGCAACACAACAGAAGUCGAAUAAUGCCUCCCUCAGAUUGUCUCUAGCUGGCUUCAAGUGGCCAAGUUCACUUAACACUAACCAACAAGGAAUUAAUCUCAUCAGUUUUAUCUCUGCAGCCUCCUGCAUGUAGAAUUAUUUAUACUCAUCAGAACAAACUCUUAAGAAAAGAGUGGCUAACGACCCAAUGAAUCAGAGGAGCUGUCUGAAGCCCAUGCCACCCAUAUCACUGGAACUGAGUUUUCAGAUAUGCUCAUUACACCAGGCAGGGACCCCAGGAUGCUGACAUGCUGUAGGGAAAGUCCACUCAGCUUGUGGUAGAGGGCAUUUAGAUCUCUUGUGACUCAGAGAUGGUGGAAACACAUAGAUCUUGUCACUGAUUCUCUUCUCUCCCCUUAACUACAGCUUCCCCCCAUUCCCAAGCCGAGCAGAUUUCAAAUGCUGGAAGUAUCCUGGUUCUGAAGCCUGUGUCCUGAAGGAAGCGAAGAAAGACAGUCUACCUUACAGACAUGAUCUCAAACAGUGAGAUCUGUGAAAAACAGAUGGGUCUUGCUUCAGUUGGGGAAAAAAUAGCAGUGCUGUUUAUAACAAUGGCUUUAUUUUUCUCCAUUGGAGAGAUUUGAAAUGCAGAAUAGUCAGCAUUCCACAGUUUCUGCCCACAAGCAAGUAUGAGAUGACUCCAAGAUGCUUUGCUUCCUUGUAAUCCAGAAGCUUUCUAAUGAGAAGCCAAAUUUCUGAAAACUGGAGAUGCUGCAGCACACACAACCCUUGGAGAGGAACCUUGUAAAGCCAAGUGGAAGUGGAAUUAAAUCAGGCUGCGCUGGAAACUGAUAUGAACCUAUAGCAAUGAACAGAGUGUCUGUUUCAAAUAAAUAGUUAAAACUUAAAAAUACUAAAUUUUCCAGGAGAUGAUCCCAUAACCAACGCUAGAAGGUGUUUUUCAGCCUCUGAUUAAACUAUGUGUCUUUACAGGCAUUUGGAUACACUACAAUCAUUUAAAAAAUUCUUCUCAUUAUAAAGCAUGUGCAGAAAUAUUUGCUGAGGCAUGUUUCUGCAGCUUUUUUGAUGCAUCAGUUUUCUACUGUAAGUAAAAAUGUAGCCUGCAUUCAGUGAUUAGCUGUCAGGGAGGAGAGAGAAGGGAAGGAGCUGCACAAGUGCAUUUCAGCCGACUUCUACCACUAAGGACCUAAGAACAGUAAUCCAAACCAGAUGUAGGGAAAAAAUGAGAGACACAUAAAUAUGGUCAUUCUAAUGCCUGUUUGAUUUCCCACACUCAUAAGCACUUUACUGAUGAAAAUUCCAGUGUGUUCAUGAGGCAAAGAUCUGUGUUCAUAUUCAUUUCUGCCCCAUUCCUUGCUACGUUUGCACAUAAAUGUCUGUUCCUUUCUCUUCUCUGGGAGCUUUGUGGAGGGCUUGUCCUUUCCUUUCACACUGUUUCUUUUCCCAUUUUCUCCUUCUUAAUGAUCUUCUUUUAGUUUCUUCUGUGCAUUCGUGUACAUUGCUUGUGCUCAGCUACUUGGUCAGGGGUGCAUUGCAGCAGUGUUUCAGCCCACACUUGGAGUGCCCCCCUAACAUCGUUCAUCUGAUUAUCCACCCCUCCUCACUGUCAUUUGCUUCACCUAAAGAAUAGCAUAAAAUCAACUGAAUCCCCCUAAGCUGAUUCUCCCCUAAGAAAUAUGCACUCCAGCUGCUAGUGAGCAGUCAAUGUUUGGGAUAUAACCAAAGUUUAUCCAAGGUGUAAAUGGCUGAAGCACACACAGUGUGGUCUUCACCACAUUUUGCUCUGUGAAACCAACCCAGAGCACUUCAUCAAGCACUAACAGGACACAGCAAACACCAGGUGUGCCCAUACUCUUAAGGCCACUCUGUGCCCUAUGAAAACAUCUGCCGGCUCAUACCCAUGCUUUGUCAGUGAGCCGUUCUUUCCUGCUUCUUCCUCAAAAUAUCCCCUUUGCAGAGAGAGCAGCUCAUCCACAAUCUCCCCUGCUUGCAGCUGCCUGCUGAGGACAGGAGGUGUCUGUGAGCUGCCAGGAAGGGGAUGGCACGGGGACCCCAGCAUCCCUGGCCCUUUCACAGUUUGAAUAAUUGUUCCUUCAUGGCACAGCAGCGAAACACUGGUUUGUGUUUCAGCGAAGCACAGCUCUGCUGUUUUGGUCUGAAAGAAGAAAUGUUUUCAGUCUCCGCACAGUCUGGCUCUUUGCAUUUCAGACAAACAGACUCGUGAAGAUUACUUAAUUCUUCUUCACUCAGACUGUUGCAAAGCACUGAGAAGGCUCCCCCUGCCCACAGGGGGACCUCUCAGCCCCCACUGCUCUUCGUCUCUGUGAUAUCUCAUGCUUCUAAGACUCAGUCACCUUCUACAUCCUACUUCACU